CAUCAUGAGCAGGAGAAGCAAGCCAGCAAGGGGGAGUACGACCCGCCGAACGAUAAGCUGAUUGAGAUGAUGGUGGGUCUUUCCAUCUAUAACCAGCAGGCUGCCGUGGCGCUACCGCUUUCCAUCUAUAACCAGCAGACCACCGCCGCACAACCGCGGCUGUGCGAGGUGCACGACGCUGCGGCGGCGGAUAGCUUCUCAUCUGCUUUUCUUGAGGCUCGUCGCAGUAUCAUCGAUCCGCGAGCAUACGUGCCGCCGCCUCCGAUAGGGCAGAAAGCCGGUCCGUCAGCGCCGUCGCAGAUGCAUCCUGGAUUGGUGCGGAUGCCGCUGCCGCCCUACGAUCGUAGCGUGCCUGACGCGCGAUCCUUCGCGGAAGGUCGACUUCGGCGCAGCAUAGCUCGUGGGCCCCGGAACGAGGCCGUGGGCAUGCUCUCGCCUGGCGCAAUCGGCGCAGCUUGCGGCGCCCACCCUGGCGGCCACGCGUAUAUGGCGCCGCCGCCCUACCUACACGGUGGAACGGAGGAAGCCUUGCUCCUCGCGCUGUCCGAGGAAACCCCCGAGAGUAUCGUGUCGUACGCCUGCGACCUCUUGGAGAGCAGACAUGGGCAGCGGCUGUUCCGUCUGGUCCUCAAUCACUGCUGCCAACAGCUGCGGGAUCGAAUCGUUGCUACGAUCACCUGGGACAGGAAGAGUUUCGGUAGCCUUUGCACCCGGAGGCCAGAUGAAGUAGUUCAUAUAAUCAGUUCCUGUGAAACUCGGAGAUCAAUGCAGCUUCUUGGAGAUGCCAUGCUGCAAUGGAUGUCACAUAAUCAGAUGAGGUACCUUCUGUCGGAUUCGAAAAGAUUAAAAGUGCUGCAGGCUUUCAUAAUGAGCUCUCCUCCGGAUAUUGCUCAGUUCAUUCUCAAAGCUGUUGCUCAAAAUUGUACAAGACUUGCAUAUCAACCAGAUGGACUGAGCCUACUGCAAAAUUGCCUAGAGCGUGUCAGCCGGAAGCAAAAGGAUGAUAUUUUUACCCAACUCUCUUAUCAGAGUCUUUUCCUUGCUCAAAAUUCCAGAGGAAACUGGAUCGUUCAGGACGUUCUGCGGAAGGGAGAUCCUUCUCACGUUGAAAUAAUUGCUUCCUGCCUUAGAAAUCAUUAUGUGACACUCGCGAAAAAUAAGUAUAGCAGCAAUGUCGUUGAGUGGUGUUUAAGGGUAUUCCACGAAGGAGAGAGAUCAGUUAUUAUAUGUGAAUUCAUUAACUAUCCUCACUUCAGAGAUCUGGUGACAGAUGAGUUUGCUAAUUUUGCACUCUCUACUGCUCUUCAGACAUGUGAGAUUCCUCUCCGAAACGUUCUGGCAAAUGCCAUCCUUUCCCAAAAUAUCACCGUACGGAAUCAACACUGUAUGAAGAUCUUUAGCACAUUAGCCAAAUAUGGGUUUAUGUAACAGAAUCUUUUGAGAUGAUUUUCUACUACUCUGGUCCUUUUCUUUUGGGCGUCUGCAGAUGUUGUGAAGACGUGAAGUAGGUACCAGGUGUACGUUCGAACCAUUUUGUGCUUGUGGAUUUUGUGGAUUGUGGCAUGUGUUAUCUU
Molecule: unclassified non-coding RNA, 1574 nt
Filed under: Zea mays
Lineage: Eukaryota; Viridiplantae; Streptophyta; Magnoliopsida; Poales; Poaceae
Description: misc RNA Zm00001eb311350
Source: RNAcentral